RNAcentral lists this ribosomal RNA (251 nucleotides) under uncultured bacterium. Its description in RNAcentral is "partial 16S ribosomal RNA". It matches the Rfam family "Bacterial small subunit ribosomal RNA", at positions 88 to 339 of the family's 1533-position model. The record is from RNAcentral.
CGGAUUAGUGGCGGACGGGUGAGUAACGCGUGAGUAACCUGCCUUUCAGAGAGGAAUAACAUUUGGAAACGAAUGGUAAUACCACAUAACAUUACGUUCUCGCAUGGGGAUGUAAUCAAAGAUUUAUCGCUGAGAGAUGGACUCGCGUCCGAUUAGCUGGAUGGUGAGGUAACGGCCCACCAUGGCGACGAUCGGUAGCCGGACUGAGAGGUUGAACGGCCACAUUGGGACUGAGACACGGCCCAGACUCC